RNAcentral lists this ribosomal RNA (2122 nucleotides) under Klebsiella pneumoniae. RNAcentral's name for it is "bacterial LSU rRNA". It matches the Rfam family "Bacterial large subunit ribosomal RNA", at positions 1 to 2141 of the family's 2925-position model. The record is from RNAcentral. Lineage: Bacteria; Pseudomonadati; Pseudomonadota; Gammaproteobacteria; Enterobacterales; Enterobacteriaceae.
GGGUUGUGAGGUUAAGCGACUAAGCGUACACGGUGGAUGCCCUGGCAGUCAGAGGCGAUGAAGGACGUGCUAAUCUGCGAAAAGCGUCGGUAAGGUGAUAUGAACCGUUAUAGCCGGCGAUGUCCGAAUGGGGAAACCCAGUGUGAUUCGUCACACUAUCGUUAACUGAAUACAUAGGUUAACGAGGCGAACCGGGGGAACUGAAACAUCUAAGUACCCCGAGGAAAAGAAAUCAACCGAGAUUCCCCCAGUAGCGGCGAGCGAACGGGGAGCAGCCCAGAGUCUGAAUCAGCUUGUGUGUUAGUGGAACGGUCUGGAAAGUCCGACGGUACAGGGUGAUAGUCCCGUACACCAAAAUGCACAGGUUGUGAACUCGAAGAGUAGGGCGGGACACGUGGUAUCCUGUCUGAAUAUGGGGGGACCAUCCUCCAAGGCUAAAUACUCCUGACUGACCGAUAGUGAACCAGUACCGUGAGGGAAAGGCGAAAAGAACCCCGGCGAGGGGAGUGAAAAAGAACCUGAAACCGUGUACGUACAAGCAGUGGGAGCACCUUCGGGUGUGACUGCGUACCUUUUGUAUAAUGGGUCAGCGACUUAUAUUCUGUAGCAAGGUUAACCGUAUAGGGGAGCCGCAGGGAAACCGAGUCUUAACUGGGCGUUAAGUUGCAGGGUAUAGACCCGAAACCCGGUGAUCUAGCCAUGGGCAGGUUGAAGGUUGGGUAACACUAACUGGAGGACCGAACCGACUAAUGUUGAAAAAUUAGCGGAUGACUUGUGGCUGGGGGUGAAAGGCCAAUCAAACCGGGAGAUAGCUGGUUCUCCCCGAAAGCUAUUUAGGUAGCGCCUCGUGAAUUCAUCUUCGGGGGUAGAGCACUGUUUCGGCUAGGGGGUCAUCCCGACUUACCAACCCGAUGCAAACUACGAAUACCGAAGAAUGUUAUCACGGGAGACACACGGCGGGUGCUAACGUCCGUCGUGAAGAGGGAAACAACCCAGACCGCCAGCUAAGGUCCCAAAGUCAUGGUUAAGUGGGAAACGAUGUGGGAAGGCACAGACAGCCAGGAUGUUGGCUUAGAAGCAGCCAUCAUUUAAAGAAAGCGUAAUAGCUCACUGGUCGAGUCGGCCUGCGCGGAAGAUGUAACGGGGCUAAACCAUGCACCGAAGCUGCGGCAGCGACACUAUGUGUUGUUGGGUAGGGGAGCGUUCUGUAAGCCUGCGAAGGUGACCUGUGAGGGUUGCUGGAGGUAUCAGAAGUGCGAAUGCUGACAUAAGUAACGAUAAAGCGGGUGAAAAGCCCGCUCGCCGGAAGACCAAGGGUUCCUGUCCAACGUUAAUCGGGGCAGGGUGAGUCGACCCCUAAGGCGAGGCCGAAAGGCGUAGUCGAUGGGAAACAGGUUAAUAUUCCUGUACUUGGUGUUACUGCGAAGGGGGGACGGAGAAGGCUAUGUUAGCCGGGCGACGGUUGUCCCGGUUUAAGCAUGUAGGCUGGUUAUCCAGGCAAAUCCGGAUAAUCAAGGCUGAGGUGUGAUGACGAGGCACUACGGUGCUGAAGUAACAAAUGCCCUGCUUCCAGGAAAAGCCUCUAAGCAUCAGGUAACAUCAAAUCGUACCCCAAACCGACACAGGUGGUCAGGUAGAGAAUACCAAGGCGCUUGAGAGAACUCGGGUGAAGGAACUAGGCAAAAUGGUGCCGUAACUUCGGGAGAAGGCACGCUGGUGUGUAGGUGAAGCCCCUGCGGGUGGAGCUGAGACCAGUCGAAGAUACCAGCUGGCUGCAACUGUUUAUUAAAAACACAGCACUGUGCAAACACGAAAGUGGACGUAUACGGUGUGACGCCUGCCCGGUGCCGGAAGGUUAAUUGAUGGGGUUAUCCGUAAGGAGAAGCUCUUGAUCGAAGCCCCGGUAAACGGCGGCCGUAACUAUAACGGUCCUAAGGUAGCGAAAUUCCUUGUCGGGUAAGUUCCGACCUGCACGAAUGGCGUAAUGAUGGCCAGGCUGUCUCCACCCGAGACUCAGUGAAAUUGAACUCGCUGUGAAGAUGCAGUGUACCCGCGGCAAGACGGAAAGACCCCGUGAACCUUUACUAUAGCUUGACACUGAACAUUGAGCCUUGAUGUGUAG